AACUUUCAACAACGGAUCUCUUGGCUCUCGCAUCGAUGAAGAACGCAGCGAAAUGCGAUACGUAAUGUGAAUUGCAGAAUUCAGUGAAUCAUCGAAUCUUUGAACGCAUAUUGCGCUCUUUGGUAUUCCGAAGAGCAUGCUUGUUUGAGUAUCAGUAAACACCUCAACCCUACUACCUUUCUUGGGCUAGUCGGGCUGGAUUUGAGCAAACCCAACAAAAAGUCUUUUGGCGGGUUGCUUGAAAUGCAGGUGCAGCUGUAACAAGAACAGACUGAGCUAAAAGCAUAUCCAUUUAGUCCGCAUUUGUGGAUUAUUUAUUUGCUGCAGCUACUCUAAGGUCGUCUUGUAUGAGCUGACUGAUGCAGGAUUUGUUGCUCCUCUCUGAGGACUUCAAAACUCGAUCUCAAAUCAAGUAAGACUACCCGCUGAACUUAAGCAUAUCAAUAAGCGGAGGAAAAGAAACUAACAAGGAUUCCCCUAGUAACGGCGAGUGAAGCGGGAAGAGCUCAAAUUUGAAAUCUGGCCGGGUUACCGGUCCGAGUUGUAGUUUACAGAAGUGUUUUCGGCGGCAACCUGGGUACAAGUCCUUUGGAACAGGGCAUCAUAGAGGGUGAGAAUCCCGUCCAUGACCCAGUGGAUGCUGCUAUGUGAUACACUUUCAAAGAGUCGAGUUGUUUGGGAUUGCAGCUCAAAAUGGGUGGUAAAUUUCAUCUAAAGCUAAAUACAGGCGAGAGACCGAUAGCGAACAAGUACCGUGAGGGAAAGAUGAAAAGAACUUUGAAAAGAGAGUUAAACAGUGCGUGAAAUUGUUGAAAGGGAA
RNAcentral lists this unclassified non-coding RNA (820 nucleotides) under uncultured Mortierellales. RNAcentral's name for it is "sequence contains 5.8S rRNA gene, ITS2, 28S rRNA gene". The stretch from base 399 to 820 matches the Rfam family "Eukaryotic large subunit ribosomal RNA", at positions 1 to 418 of the family's 3401-position model. The record is from RNAcentral. Lineage: Eukaryota; Fungi; Mortierellomycota; Mortierellomycetes; Mortierellales.